This 724-nucleotide long non-coding RNA is filed under the name Felis catus (domestic cat). RNAcentral's name for it is "lncRNA (ENSFCAG00000049956.1)". The record is from RNAcentral. Lineage: Eukaryota; Metazoa; Chordata; Mammalia; Carnivora; Felidae.
GGAAGAUGUGCAGCUGAAAAUAAUGUUAUAUUUUGUAUUAAUUUGCCUUUUUGUGCUUGUGUAAAUCCAGCUGGCACAAUGGGCCUCCUGAGCAUUUAACUAAUAGUGUGAUUAUCUCCAUUUCACUAAGGAAGAAGUUACCCCAGGGGAAGCAACGAAAGGUCCAAAAAUCUGGCUUCUAACAGCAGGGCCCGACUUCGAGAGAACAUCGCUUCCAACAUAUAUUCUGUGAACAUCAGCCAGGUUUGCUUUUUUUUGUGUGCAUAAAAUUCAGUGUGCAGCUUUCUAACCCAACACUCAACAGUAGCAGUUGGUUUUCUCCAAGGAUCAUGCAUGUAGAGAUAAUUACAGUGAGUUUCAGGAUCCUCUAUCUUCUUUAGCCAGUGGACUCUAUCUUAUGUCUCUAGAGAUGUGAAAACGCCACCAGAGACUGCUUGGUACUAUAUUGAGAGAAACCGCCUCUUCUGGAACAGCUGAUUUUUCAUCAAGGAUAAGCAUUUUUGUCGAACUACAACCCAUUUAAAAAGAGAUGGCAUGUAAUGUCAUAUGGAGUUAAAUGGGGUUUUUGAAUUGAUUCAGCUCAUAGCUCCUGAGGCCGUGCACAAAGGCCAGAUUUGAGGUAAAGCCUAGAUAUAAGCCCAGCUCUACCAUUUAUUCACUGAUAACUGUAGGUGAGUCCCAGAGUGUCUCUGAUCUGGUUCCCUCAUCAAUAAAGUGGGGGAUU